UACGAAGGGGGCUAGCGUUGCUCGGAAUCACUGGGCGUAAAGCGCACGUAGGCGGACUCUUAAGUCGGGGGUGAAAUCCCAGAGCUCAACUCUGGAACUGCCUUCGAUACUGGGAGUCUUGAGUGUGGUAGAGGUUGGUGGAACUGCGAGUGUAGAGGUGAAAUUCGUAGAUAUUCGCAAGAACACCAGUGGCGAAGGCGGCUCACUGGCCCGGUACUGACGCUGAGGUGCGAAAGCGUGGGGAGCAAACAGG
Molecule: ribosomal RNA, 253 nt
Filed under: uncultured bacterium
Lineage: Bacteria
Description: partial 16S ribosomal RNA
Rfam family: Bacterial small subunit ribosomal RNA
Source: RNAcentral